CCUACGGGCGACAGCAGUGAGGAAUCUUCGUCAAUGGGCGAGAGCCUGAACCAGCCAAGUCGCGUGAGGGAAUACUGCCCUCUGGGCUGUAAACCUUUUUUGUCGGGGAGCAAAAGCCGGACGUGUCCGGCAGUGCGAGUGACCGAAGAAAAAGCAUCGGCUAACUCCGUGCCAGCAGCCGCGGUAAUACGGAGGCUCCGAGCGUUAUCCGGAUUUAUUGGGGUUAAAGGGAGCGUAGAUGGGUUGUUAAGUCAGUUGUGAAAGUUUGCGGCUCAACCGUAAAAUUGCAAUGGAUACUGGCAGUCUUGAGUACAGUUGAGGUAGGCGGAAUUCGAGGUGUAGCGGUGAAAUGCUUAGAUAUCAGGAAGAACCCCGGUGGCGAAGGCAGCUUACUAAACUGUGACUGACAUUGAUGCUCGAAAGUGUGGGUAUCAAACAGGAUUAGAUACCCCAGUAGUC
RNAcentral lists this ribosomal RNA (459 nucleotides) under uncultured bacterium. Its description in RNAcentral is "partial 16S ribosomal RNA". It matches the Rfam family "Bacterial small subunit ribosomal RNA", at positions 338 to 795 of the family's 1533-position model. The record is from RNAcentral.